AUUGAACGCUGGCGGCAUGCUUUACACAUGCCAGUCGAACGGCAGCGCGGGCUUCGGCCUGGCGGCGAGUGGCGAACGGGUGAGUAAUGCAUCGGUACGUGCCCAGUAGUGGGGGAUAGCCCGGCGAAAGCCGGAUUAAUACCGCAUACGACCUUAGGGUGAAAGCGGGGGACCGAAAGGCCUCGCGCUAUUGGAGCGGCCGAUGUCGGAUUAGCUAGUUGGUGGGGUAAAGGCUUACCAAGGCGACGAUCCGUAGCUGGUCUGAGAGGACGACCAGCCACACUGGGACUGAGACACGGCCCAGACUCCUACGGGAGGCAGCAGUGGGGAAUUUUGGACAAUGGGGGCAACCCUGAUCCAGCCAUGCCGCGUGCGGGAAGAAGGCCUUCGGGUUGUAAACCGCUUUUGUUCGGGAAGAAAUCCUCUGGGCUAAUACCCCGGGGGGAUGACGGUACCGGAAGAAUAAGCACCGGCUAACUACGUG
Molecule: ribosomal RNA, 484 nt
Filed under: uncultured bacterium
Lineage: Bacteria
Description: partial 16S ribosomal RNA
Rfam family: Bacterial small subunit ribosomal RNA
Source: RNAcentral